AAACUUUCAACAACGGAUCUCUUGGUUCUGGCAUCGAUGAAGAACGCAGCGAAAUGCGAUAAGUAGUGUGAAUUGCAGAAUUCCGUGAAUCAUCGAAUCUUUGAACGCACAUUGCGCCCGCCAGUAUUCUGGCGGGCAUGCCUGUUCGAGCGUCAUUU
This 158-nucleotide ribosomal RNA is filed under the name Nalanthamala psidii. Its description in RNAcentral is "5.8S ribosomal RNA". It matches the Rfam family "5.8S ribosomal RNA". From Rfam's summary of the family: 5.8S ribosomal RNA (5.8S rRNA) is a component of the large subunit of the eukaryotic ribosome. It is transcribed by RNA polymerase I as part of the 45S precursor that also contains 18S and 28S rRNA. The record is from RNAcentral. Lineage: Eukaryota; Fungi; Ascomycota; Sordariomycetes; Hypocreales; Nectriaceae.